CUUUCCAACACUCUUUGGCCCACGCUUCCGGAUCCCCACCUUCUCUACCUCCGGCGCCGCCGACCAUCGCCAUUACCGUUCCAGCCGCCCCACGCCCUCCGCCGCCAUGAAGCCCAUCGAAUUCGCCGUCGAAGAUGACCUCGCCGCGGUCGCUUCAGUCCUCGGACAACUCCAUAGCUCACGCGCCCGCCGUCCAGGUCAGGCACAUCGCCCACGGACCCGAUGACCAGACGGAGGAGUCGGCGCUUGUGACAAUGGGCAUCAAUGGAAACACACCAGGACGGAACAUCGUUCCCGCCUCUGCAACGACGCCACGGUUGGCUGCGACCCGGAGGUCAGCAUCUAGUCACUGAGGCCUCAACUUGACUGUACCUGUUAUAGCUACUUAGAAUGGCAGAUUUGCCCUCUCGUUGCUAGCAGUUUAUAAUGCUCUAAUCCAGCAAGACAACAUCAACUAGUAAUCUAGUAUAGUAUAGUCCAGUAAUAAUACUGGCGGCAGAGCAGCAGAGGUUAACACAUCCUUCGGAGGCUCAGCUCAAACAGAAACUGCAUAGUGUGGUAGUUCAAGAAACUGACAAAAUAACACCAAGUUUGCAUUAUUAAACAUAACUAGUUAAAUGCCCGUGCGUUGCUACGGGUAUACAUAGAUCUAAUCUAAUGAUAUAUGAUAUAUAGUUGUAUGAGACUCAAUUUAUUUUCUCAACAAUCAAUUAUUUUUUCAACAACCAAGCAUUACGGGCCGUGGAACAUGGAUAAUAAAUCCUCUACCAAGGAAAAUUUUCAGAGGCCAAGAUCUCCAAAGAACACAGGGGGGCGCAAAAAAUCGCAAGAAAUCAUGGGAAGAUCAACGAAAGUUCAGAAAAUGAAAUAAACACAACCCAACAAAGACUUGCACAUAGGGUUAUUUGGAUUUAUAACAUUGCAAUUUUAAAAUUUUUGAAGUUUGGAGAAACGCCAUUUUGCAUAUAUAUAUUCUCAUGUAAAUUUGCACAAGGUUAAAUGGCAAACCAAAUAAACACUAUACACGGGUGCAUGCCUGAAGGCAGAAGCUCCCCAAAACACCACACGCCUCACUUCAUAUAACCUUAUCACAAUUGUAAGCAAUACAGCAAAUCUAUUGCCGCCGCACAUGCUGCCAGGAUCAGGCAUGUGAACACCUGCAGAAUAAACAUACCAUGGAUCAAUCUCAUUGUCUCACCGUAUGGUCAUCACAAGUCUUCUUAUGCACAGGUCUGAAACAAGCACAGUAUCUGACCGCAUUCAUUGCUGAAAUUAGCAGCAGGCAAGAUGAACUGAACGAAGUCUAGCUUACAUCUCAAAUGUUUUAGGUCCUAAUAUCAUCUACUAAUCAUGUAACGCCUUAACUGCCCGUGCGUGCAAUAAAUCAAUUCUUUUAAAAAAAAUCAGUACAAAAAAGCAGGUAGGUCGUCUGAACAUAUGGUAAGAGAAAGUCUUUUCCUAUGGCAAUCAGUACAAAGUUGCUUAUCAAGUAUGUCAGUGUGUUCCUCUAGGAUCGUGCCUGUACAUUUCCUCCUGAGCUGGAUCUCUUGAUUUGUACAGGGAAAAAUAGUACGGUAAUUCUAGUUUGAUGUUUCUAUUUCUGAGGUGCACAUUUUCAUUUAUUUGGUGAAAACCAGUAGUGGUAGCAUGCAGGUUCAGAGCUGCUGCAAGACUGACAACAGGUAGGUUUGCAAAGCAAUGAAUUCAGAUUCGAGAAGAUCUUAACAAACACAAACACUCACUGUGAAGGAAAGCACAAGCCCUGGUCUUCAACUACCCAAUCAGUACAUACAACCGUUAGCAGUUCUGUUGUGGAGCAACCCUGUGAGAAAUUAGUAAAGCAUGCUGUCAUUCUAACCUUCCACGAGACAGAUGUAUUCGUACCCAAAUAAUUCGACCCUUGGUCACAAAAAGGAUCAAGAGAGGAUGGGGAUUACCAGGUCCUGUCCUUGUCAAAUAUGAAAUGAUAGACAAACUAAUAAUUGGCUUAACUGUAUUGAAAACAGCGGUUCAGUGAUCUACUGCCUUGGCUUAGUUCAGUAGGUUACCUUUAGAAUUCCCACACGGUAGUUGUUCCAAUGAAAGAAACAGCUAGAUCAAAUAAGACCCUAGAAGAAAUGUCAGAGCACAUUGCAUCCUCGCUCCUGGCGCUGGCGCUGGGUUACAGGUACCGAACGAUUUCAAUGCUGAAGAAACUCUGCAUGCUCCUGCGGAAUUGAAGACCAGCAGACUCUCAAAAACUUGUGGAAAUCACUGUACAAAAAGGUAUAUUGAUGUUUGAAUGGAAGGACAGAAAUAACAACUUUUGCACAAAACGUGGAUUAAUCUGAAGAAGCAAUGAUACACCGAAGAAAAUAGUUCUGUAUUCAAUAUAAAAAAAGGUGUAAUCACAAGGUGUUGUAGGAAUUAUACAGAAUAAAUGAUAUGCAUCAGAUCACAGCACUUUACAUCAUUCUUCUGAUAGCACUGAGUUCAAGGGAAAAUGUUGACUGUUUCAGUUUACUUACCAUUCUUCUGAUAGUGUUAAGUUCAAGGGAAAAUAUUAACUGUUUCAGUUUACUUACCAUUCUUCUAAUAGCGUUAAGUUCAAGGGAAAAUAUUAACUGUUUCAGUUUACUUACCAUUCUUCUGAUAGUGUUAAGUUCAAGUUAAAACAUUAACUGUUUACUAUUUAUUUUGCUUCCUGAUAUGCCAAUUUAAUCUAGGCUGCUUAUAAUUAUUGUUGUUAAAUGGAUUCCCAUUUUGUCAUCCUAAUUUCAGUAAAACUGAGCUUAAAUGAAUUCCCAUUUCUAGCCGGUUCAUCUUUGCUGCCAAGGGCUAUAGCACUAUACUGAAACAGCCUUGUGCUUAGGUGACAGGUGCGGGAGAUGUAUGCUUCUCAGUGUGUGGCCUUUCUUUGCAUACUUCAUUGUUUAUCUACUAUGGCCAUGCAAGCACACAAGUAAUACAAAAAAGAUAAAUAUGAUGAAGAGUACAGGGUAUACAUUUCGACAAUUAUCAAGGAAGUGAAAGCAUUUUUACCACAGCAAUCCCAGGGUCUUUUGCACCAUUUUCUUCAAGACGAGCAAAUUGCUUCCUAAAUUAGUCGACAUUGCUGCAUAAACAAGCAUCUUUGUCCAUGUACCUCUCUGUUCUUCUACUUUUCCUCUUAAUAUGGUGGUAGGAAUUUAAGUCUGCAUCAUGUAAGGCAGUUUCUUGCCCGAUGUUUCUCAAGGCACAUAAUUUCCAUUUCGGCCUUGCAAUCGGGCAAUAUUCAUGAGCCUCAACACUUAGCCUGCAAAAUGGUGGACAUAGGCAUGUCAGGGUACCCAUGAAAACAUUGAUGUUGUUUCAGACAUUGUACUCAAGACAUACACAAUCAAACAGUUACUGCUAA
Panicum virgatum (switchgrass) is the source of this 3376-nucleotide long non-coding RNA. RefSeq lists it as uncharacterized. The transcript has 2 exons. NCBI's taxonomy places the organism in Eukaryota, Viridiplantae, Streptophyta, Magnoliopsida, Poales, Poaceae. The record is from RefSeq and is a predicted model, not a curated record.